This 253-nucleotide ribosomal RNA is filed under the name uncultured bacterium. RNAcentral's name for it is "partial 16S ribosomal RNA". It matches the Rfam family "Bacterial small subunit ribosomal RNA", at positions 524 to 776 of the family's 1533-position model. The record is from RNAcentral.
UACGAAGGGGGCUAGCGUUGCUCGGAAUCACUGGGCGUAAAGCGCACGUAGGCGGACUCUUAAGUCAGGGGUGAAAUCCUGGAGCUCAACUCCAGAACUGCCUUUGAUACUGAAGGUCUUGAGUUCGGGAGAGGUGAGUGGAACUGCGAGUGUAGAGGUGAAAUUCGUAGAUAUUCGCAAGAACACCAGUGGCGAAGGCGGCUCACUGGCUCGUAUCUGACGCUCAGGCGCGACAGCGUGGGGAUCAAACAGG